UCAAAAAUUCCACAAAAAACACACCUCCGAUCAAUAUCCAAGAAGAGUAGUUUGUCUUUAGUUAGCAGCUUUGAUUGGGCCGCUAACCAAAGCAAGAAAGAAUGCUUCGGAGUGAUGCACGGCUUCCAAACUUCUCCUUCCCACGGCUUCAAAGUAUCUUUAUGCCUAAAGUAAUCAUAGGCAAUUUUUGUUGAGAAUUUAUCAUGCAUAGAACAGCCCAGAUUUUGACUUGAAGAUUCAAAAAACUGCCUACCGAAGAAA
RNAcentral lists this long non-coding RNA (261 nucleotides) under Olea europaea (common olive). RNAcentral's name for it is "long non-coding RNA (OEUR_LNC015645)". Lineage: Eukaryota; Viridiplantae; Streptophyta; Magnoliopsida; Lamiales; Oleaceae. The record is from RNAcentral.